RNAcentral lists this ribosomal RNA (866 nucleotides) under Pediococcus pentosaceus. Its description in RNAcentral is "bacterial SSU rRNA". It matches the Rfam family "Bacterial small subunit ribosomal RNA", at positions 54 to 874 of the family's 1533-position model. The record is from RNAcentral. Lineage: Bacteria; Bacillati; Bacillota; Bacilli; Lactobacillales; Lactobacillaceae.
CAUGCAAGUCGAACGAACUUCCGUUAAUUGAUUAUGACGUACUUGUACUGAUUGAGAUUUUAACACGAAGUGAGUGGCGAACGGGUGAGUAACACGUGGGUAACCUGCCCAGAAGUAGGGGAUAACACCUGGAAACAGAUGCUAAUACCGUAUAACAGAGAAAACCGCAUGGUUUUCUUUUAAAAGAUGGCUCUGCUAUCACUUCUGGAUGGACCCGCGGCGUAUUAGCUAGUUGGUGAGGUAAAGGCUCACCAAGGCAGUGAUACGUAGCCGACCUGAGAGGGUAAUCGGCCACAUUGGGACUGAGACACGGCCCAGACUCCUACGGGAGGCAGCAGUAGGGAAUCUUCCACAAUGGACGCAAGUCUGAUGGAGCAACGCCGCGUGAGUGAAGAAGGGUUUCGGCUCGUAAAGCUCUGUUGUUAAAGAAGAACGUGGGUAAGAGUAACUGUUUACCCAGUGACGGUAUUUAACCAGAAAGCCACGGCUAACUACGUGCCAGCAGCCGCGGUAAUACGUAGGUGGCAAGCGUUAUCCGGAUUUAUUGGGCGUAAAGCGAGCGCAGGCGGUCUUUUAAGUCUAAUGUGAAAGCCUUCGGCUCAACCGAAGAAGUGCAUUGGAAACUGGGAGACUUGAGUGCAGAAGAGGACAGUGGAACUCCAUGUGUAGCGGUGAAAUGCGUAGAUAUAUGGAAGAACACCAGUGGCGAAGGCGGCUGUCUGGUCUGCAACUGACGCUGAGGCUCGAAAGCAUGGGUAGCGAACAGGAUUAGAUACCCUGGUAGUCCAUGCCGUAAACGAUGAUUACUAAGUGUUGGAGGGUUUCCGCCCUUCAGUGCUGCAGCUAACGCAUUAAGUAAUCCGCCU